Molecule: long non-coding RNA, 4582 nt
Filed under: Homo sapiens (human)
Lineage: Eukaryota; Metazoa; Chordata; Mammalia; Primates; Hominidae
Description: HSALNT0299900
Source: RNAcentral
ACCCUCCAGCAUUUCUGCUUCCAGGUAAAACCUGCACGUGUGAGGAAUGUGUGGCAUUGUAAUGUCAGUCCUCCCUUCAGUUGCUGUCACUUGAAAGAAAAUGUGUUUGUUUAACAAACAUAAAUUGAGUGCCUACUGUGUACCCACACUUCUAGAUCCUGCUGUUGCUGCAGCCACAGCUGUGAUUAGGGCAAGUCUCAGCUCCCCUGGAGUGAGUGCUCCUGUGGGCCAUCAGGUGACAUGGGGACAGAUGCCACAGGGGAGUGUAGAGGAGGGGCCAGGGAGCGCUGUGGGAGCGAGGCUCUCUGAGAAGGCGAUGCGUGAGCCAAGGCCCAGGGUUGGGGUGGGGUGGCACCUGGGUGAGUGGAUCAGGUAGGGAGGCAGCUGGGCUGGCAUGGGAAUGAGGCAGGAGGCCCAGCCAUGGGGAACUGGAGGUCCUGCCUUUUUGAGACGGAAGCCACUGAACAGGUGAGGACUGAAGUUUAGAGUUUGGAUGGUUUACUGCCUUUGAUUGGCACACAGCCGCCAGUGUGUGUGCGUUGUGUGUGUGCAAUGGUGAGGCCACUGUGCACCCGGUGGCUGGCUUCUCAUGAGUUUAACACACACUCACCACACCAGUCAGCCCUCACGUCUUUACCCUGGAUCCUUUUCGAGAAAGGAUCUGGAAAGUAAACAUUUUAGACUUUGAGGGCCACAGUCACUGUCCAUGUUCCUCUCUGUGGUUGUCCUGCCAGACACACACCAUGAGUUUACAAAGACAGGCGGUGGAUGGAUGUGGCCUGGGGCCUGUUUGCCAAUGCCAGCCCCAGAAAAUAAAACUUAUGUUUGCAUAAAUACCUAUACACAGAUAUUUCUACCCAGGCAUAAUCACCAAGUGCUGGAAGCAACACAAGCGUCCUUCAAUGGUGAACGGAUGGCAGGGCCCCCAGAAGACCACAGGAAAGUCGUGUAGAGAAGACGUUCAGAUGGGGCGUCAGAUGUGGGGGAGAACGAGCUGGAGAUGGACACGGACAUGGAGGUGUGGAUGGCCCUGGGGAGGCCCCCUGGCAGCUGGUGGAUGGCAGGAGCGGCGUGGACAGCAGGAGCAGCAUGAACUGCAGGAGCGGCACGGGAUAAGAGAGGUCCCUUUAAGACAUGGCAGUGAAACGAUGAAACAGGCAAAAGCUGGUUGGAGAGGAGUCAUCAGAGAAGGAGCUUUAAGUGAAUUUCUUGACGAUGGUGCGCGGAUGGAUGGAGGAAGCCUCCUUGCUGAUAUAGAGUUGUGAUCCGGGGUGGAUGGGGGUGCAUAUGUGUUGGGGGAGGGCCGUGGGGAUGGAGGGAGCUGCUCCUGGUGUGGGUGGUGGCCGUGAUUCUGUGGGUUAAUGGAAGGUACUGGGGAUGGUCAACUCUGGUCACGCUUACCCUGCAAUCUGACGGCGCCAGUGCCCACUGACUGGCCCAAAUCACUCUUCUUCAAAGAUUCUGAAAGGGCUGUACAUCUAGAGUAGAUCCAGGGCUUUUGCAGUGUUGGUGACUUAGAAUAAAGAUCUUCAAAUUACGACAUUUUGGGCCUCUGGCUCACUCCCCCAAAGCAAAAUUUGUCCAAUGACAAUCUACAAAACUCAAGUAAGCCUCAUUCUUAAAUGUGACUGGAAAUAUUUAAGAUAAUCUAAAAUAAUCAAAGAGAAUAAAAAUAGCCUAUGAAGAAGCAAUUUAGAAACAAAAUCCUCCCAAUAAUUAGAAUUCUCAGAGAGAUUUAAGGAUAUAAUGCAGCCAUAAAACAUGAACAUGUACUUUAAGAAAACAGCAAUUGUGCCUCAUAAAAGCUCUUGGAAACCUGGAAUGUGGUAACUUCUGAAUUUUUUUUAAUCAAAAGAAAAGGGGAAAUUUUCUAAAAAGUAAAACGAAAGAAGUGAAGGGGUAAUGAGGCAUGAAGGAUCCUUCUAGGACAGACCACAUUCAGCCAAUAGAAGUUUUAGGAAAAGAAAACAGAGAAAAUGGAGUAGAGGCAAUUUUCAAGUAAAUAGCACCAGAAAAGGUCCCCAAAUUGUCAGGGAGACUCAAAUGUUCAUAUUGAGAAAGUUGUGAACUGCUAAGUAAGAUGAAUUUUAAAAGAUAUCUUCACAUGUCAUUGUAAAAAUUCAGAACACCUGGUUUAAAGAGAGACUAAAGUAUUACCUAAAGAAAAAAUAAUUCAGCUACAAAGAAAUAAAAAUCAGACCGGCAUUAGAUCUCCAACAGCAACAUAGCAUAGUAGCAUUCCAGAAGGCGGCAGGGUGACGUUUUUCCAGAAGGCAGCAGGGUGAUGUUUUUUCGAGUGCUGACAAAGUUUCCACCUAAGUUCCACAUCUAGACAUCUAUCAAACAAGUAUGAUUUUCAGACAUGCGGUGAGUUCUAAGGGUCCCAAGAUCCUUUCUGUUUUUAAUAAACUUUUUUUUGCUCUAGUGCAACAUACACGCAGAGAAGUGGGCAAAGUGAAUCGAACUCUGCAGGCUGGUGUCCACAUAAAGAGAUGGAACACCACAGUGCCCACUGGCAGCCCCCCCAAGCCCCGCCUGCCAUGGUCUCCAGGGGUGACUGUGAUGCUCACCACUAGUGCUAUCAUUUAGCUUAGCCAAUAUUGGAACAGUUUUAACCAAGCAUCAUUUCUUAAUGAGUUAUUUGAGCACUUGAAAUAGGGCACUGAAUAGGAGCAGAGGAAGUGACUGUCCAGGGUCUGAGGCUGCAAUGAGGGACCAGAGGUCCCAGGGUGGCCCCUCUAUGCAGGAGUGUACGACCGGAUGGUCUCAGAACAGGUGUUCCUGGGGAAGGGGAUUCUCAGUAGAUUAAGUGGGGAGACGGGAUGGGUGGGAAAUGCAAGGACAAGAUAAAAGUAGAGGUUGAAGGAAAAAAAAGCCAUUAGAAAGAAGCAGAAUAAUAAUAGUGACAAAUGUCCUCUCGACCCAGCCAGGGCAAGCAGAGAAGCAGAGAUGGCCUAAAUGUGGAGCAGUGGGUCCAAACUGGACCAGAGUGAAUCUAACUUAAUGAAAAUGACAACUGCAAAAAAAAACAGAACUGAUUCUAAGCAAUCCAUGAAAUGCAUAAGAAGCUCAAAUGUAUAAUUGGGACAAUGGUGAAUAGCAUUAAUAUUUCUUCUUUCUCAACAAGGAAAAGGCAAUUAGAAAUUCUAGAAAAACAACCACAUAAUAAAGAUAGGGCCCCAGUAUGGAACAAUAAAAACAAUGAUGGUUUUGAAUAAUUGGUAAAGUCUAGGAAAGGAAAAGUCAUUUGCGUUUGACACCAGGAACAUUUUCCUAGGCGUGGCUUAUGCUUUGAGUCAUUGGACGUAGAGGGAGGGGUGCAACCCUGCAGCGGUGCUGGGCUCUGCAGUGAACCAUGCAAAUCACCUAAGGCAGCCGGGAAUGGGGCCCAGCCAGCCUGCUGCAAAGUAGCUCUAGGUGCAUCUUCCGUGCGUCUAGGUGUGCCAUGUGACAAGGUGCUGUUGGAUGCCUGUGAGUGGAAAUGAUGCCAGUGUACCCGGGCCUGGCCCAUUAAAAACACCCACAUCGUGCUCCUUUGGCCAGUUUCCCCUCCCACGGCUGAAACUGGAUGACCGUGGAGUCUCACGCUCAAGAUGUCAGAGCCUGGGUCACCUGGGUCCCUGAGUGGCUGAGGAGGAGAUGCCACUCCAUGGACCCACUUAUCUUCAGGAACACGUACAUCAGCAAGAAACAAAUGAUGGUGUUUAUGCCAUUUUAUAUUUGGAGGUUUAUCUAUUAGAGGAGUUAGCUAUGCUAACUAUUAAUAAUUCAGGUUAAUUGGUUUUCAACUUUUUGGACUCUACAGACAAAGCACAGAGACUUACCCAUGAGUAAAAAUACAGUGCACGUGUCAGGAAGCUUAAUAAGGCAGGGCGCCACCGUCAAAAGCAGGAAGAGGAAGCCGGUGAGGGCAGGGCAGGGGGGAAGGCUGGCGGUGCCAAUACCUAGUCUCAGGGAUCAGGGGUGCCUUCUGUCAUUAGCGGGGAGUGUCACGUGUAUUGCUUACUGCUGCAGUUAGAUAAUGGAAGGUACAUCUGUCAAUAUUGAUGUAACUAUUGGGAGGCUGUAACAAUAGUAAAGACAGCUAAAUUCUUAUUGAUCAUAAUAGGAAAAUAAGCUGAUCAAGAAAUCAGAAAGAUCUGGGAAGUAACCAGAGAAGAAAUGGAAUCAGAACCAUUAAAAGCGGUUACCCCUGAGGAGCAGGGCUGGAGGUGGGAGGGCUGUUUGGGGGCCGCCCAGCAUCGCCCUUUUUCCUUUCCUCCAUUUCUCCCUGUCUCUCUCUCUGUCUCUCUCAUCAGCCCUCCUGCACUCUUUCAAAUGUUAAACCUAUGCAUUUAUUACUUUCAUUUUAGAAUUUAAAAUAUUUAAAGGUUUACUAAAUACACAUUAGAAAUUAGGUUACUCAGGAGAACAUGAAGUUUUUCCUGAGUACUCUAGGGACACUCAGUUAUUAAUAAUUGAUAUGCAGCUCCCAUGCCAUGGUCGUCUGUUACAGUAGGUCUCCAUAUACCUGGCCUUAGGAUAUUCUUUAUUUAUUUAUUUUUUUUUCCAUAGGUUAUUGGGGUACAGGUGGUAUUUGGUU